UGGGGAAUAUUGGACAAUGGGCGMAAGCCUGAUCCAGCAAUGCCGCGUGAGUGAUGAAGGCCCUAGGGUUGUAAAGCUCUUUUACCCGGGAAGAUAAUGACUGUACCGGGAGAAUAAGCCCCGGCUAACUCCGU
Molecule: ribosomal RNA, 134 nt
Filed under: uncultured Sphingomonas sp.
Lineage: Bacteria; Pseudomonadati; Pseudomonadota; Alphaproteobacteria; Sphingomonadales; Sphingomonadaceae
Description: partial 16S ribosomal RNA
Rfam family: Bacterial small subunit ribosomal RNA
Source: RNAcentral